GAUUAACCACUCCGGUGGCUUAGUGAUUAAAGUUUCAGCCUCGGAUGCAGGAGGUCGUGGGUUCAAUCCCAGGGCGAGUCA
Molecule: non-coding RNA, 81 nt
Organism: Potamilus streckersoni
Lineage: Eukaryota; Metazoa; Mollusca; Bivalvia; Unionida; Unionidae
Source: the annotation of a GenBank genome assembly